CUCCCGUGCCUACUGAGCUGAAACACAGUUGGUUUGUGCAGACUGGCUCAGUUCAGCAGGAACAGGAG
MicroRNA precursor from Equus asinus (donkey), 68 nucleotides. Ensembl annotates it as microRNA 24-2. NCBI's taxonomy places the organism in Eukaryota, Metazoa, Chordata, Mammalia, Perissodactyla, Equidae. The record is from Ensembl.